RNAcentral lists this ribosomal RNA (254 nucleotides) under uncultured bacterium. Its description in RNAcentral is "partial 16S ribosomal RNA". It matches the Rfam family "Bacterial small subunit ribosomal RNA", at positions 524 to 776 of the family's 1533-position model. The record is from RNAcentral.
GACGGUAGGGUGCGAGCGUUGUCCGGAUUUAUUGGGCGUAAAGAGCUCGUAGGCGGCUCGUCGCGUCGACCGUGAAAACCCGCGGCUUAACUGCGGGCUUGCGGUUGAUACGGGCGGGCUAGAGUUCGGUAGGGGAGACUGGAAUUCCUGGUGUAGCGGUGAAAUGCGCAGAUAUCAGGAGGAACACCGGUGGCGAAGGCGGGUCUCUGGGCAGUAACUGACGCUGAGGCACGAAGGCCAGGGGAGCAAACGGG